UACGGAGGGGGCUAGCGUUGUUCGGAAUUACUGGGCGUAAAGCGCACGUAGGCGGCUUUGUAAGUUAGAGGUGAAAGCCCGGAGCUCAACUCCGGAACUGCCUUUAAGACUGCAUCGCUUGAACGUUGGAGAGGUAAGUGGAAUUCCCAGUGUAGAGGUGAAAUUCGUAGAUAUUGGGAAGAACACCGGUGGCGAAGGCGGCCAUCUGGACCGCAACUGACGCUGAGGCGCGAAAGCGUGGGGAGCAAACAGG
This 253-nucleotide ribosomal RNA is filed under the name uncultured prokaryote. Its description in RNAcentral is "partial 16S ribosomal RNA". It matches the Rfam family "Bacterial small subunit ribosomal RNA", at positions 524 to 776 of the family's 1533-position model. The record is from RNAcentral.